UACGUAGGGUGCAAGCGUUGUCCGGAAUUAUUGGGCGUAAAGCGCGUGUAGGCGGCUUUGCAAGUCGGGUGUGAAAGCCCUCAGCUUAACUGAGGAAGUGCGCCCGAAACUGCUUGGCUUGAGUACCGGAGAGGAUGGCGGAAUUCCCCAAGUAGAGGUGAAAUUCGUAGAUAUGGGGAGGAACACCGGUGGCGAAGGCGGCCAUCUGGACGGAUACUGACGCUGAGACGCGAAAGCGUGGGUAGCAAACAGG
This 253-nucleotide ribosomal RNA is filed under the name uncultured bacterium. RNAcentral describes it as "partial 16S ribosomal RNA". It matches the Rfam family "Bacterial small subunit ribosomal RNA", at positions 524 to 776 of the family's 1533-position model. The record is from RNAcentral.